RNAcentral lists this ribosomal RNA (207 nucleotides) under uncultured bacterium. RNAcentral describes it as "partial 16S ribosomal RNA". It matches the Rfam family "Bacterial small subunit ribosomal RNA", at positions 568 to 774 of the family's 1533-position model. The record is from RNAcentral.
CGCGUAGGCGGUUUGGUCAGUUGGAUGUGAAAGCCCAGGGCUUAACCUUGGAAUUGCAUUCAAUACUGCCAGGCUAGAGUACGGUAGAGGGGGGUAGAAUUCCACGUGUAGCGGUGAAAUGCGUAGAGAUGUGGAGGAAUACCAGUGGCGAAGGCGGCCCCCUGGAUCGAUACUGACGCUGAGGUGCGAAAGCGUGGGGAGCAAACA